UCUUCAUUCCUCGUACUCUCUUAGCGGUCAGAGUGACGAGAGAGCGCGUGAAAUGAAGAGA
Molecule: microRNA precursor, 61 nt
Filed under: Pristionchus pacificus
Lineage: Eukaryota; Metazoa; Nematoda; Chromadorea; Rhabditida; Neodiplogasteridae
Description: mir-8364 microRNA precursor family
Rfam family: mir-8364 microRNA precursor family
Source: Rfam by way of RNAcentral